Molecule: ribosomal RNA, 1366 nt
Filed under: uncultured bacterium
Lineage: Bacteria
Description: bacterial SSU rRNA
Rfam family: Bacterial small subunit ribosomal RNA
Source: RNAcentral
GGGGUUAAGACUUCGGUUUUAACUUAGUGGCGAACGGGUGAGUAACGCGUGAGGAACCUGCCUCUCAGUGGGGGACAACAGUUGGAAACGACUGCUAAUACCGCAUAAUGUUAUUGAACGGCAUCGUUUGAUAACCAAAGAUUUAUUGCUGAGAGAUGGCCUCGCGUCUGAUUAGCUAGUUGGUGGGGUAACGGCCCACCAAGGCGACGAUCAGUAGCCGGACUGAGAGGUUGACCGGCCACAUUGGGACUGAGAUACGGCCCAGACUCCUACGGGAGGCAGCAGUGGGGAAUAUUGGGCAAUGGGCGAAAGCCUGACCCAGCAACGCCGCGUGAAGGAAGAAGGCCUUCGGGUUGUAAACUUCUUUUACCAGGGACGAACACAAUGACGGUACCUGGAGAAAAAGCAACGGCUAACUACGUGCCAGCAGCCGCGGUAAUACGUAGGUUGCAAGCGUUGUCCGGAAUUACUGGGUGUAAAGGGCGUGUAGGCGGAGAUGCAAGUUGGGAGUGAAAUCCAUGGGCUCAACCCAUGAACUGCUUUCAAAACUGCAUCCCUUGAGUAUCGGAGAGGCAAGCGGAAUUCCUAGUGUAGCGGUGAAAUGCGUAGAUAUUAGGAGGAACACCAGUGGCGAAGGCGGCUUGCUGGACGACAACUGACGCUGAGGCGCGAAAGCGUGGGGAGCAAACAGGAUUAGAUACCCUGGUAGUCCACGCUGUAAACGAUGAAUACUAGGUGUGGGGGGACUGACCCCUUCCGUGCCGCAGUUAACACAAUAAGUAUUCCACCUNGGGGAGUACGACCGCAAGGUUGAAACUCAAAGGAAUUGACGGGGGCCCGCACAAGCAGUGGAUUAUGUGGUUUAAUUCGACGCAACGCGAAGAACCUUACCAGGAUUUGACAUCCAACUAACGAAGUAGAGAUACAUUAGGUGCCCUUCGGGGAAAGUUGAGACAGGUGGUGCAUGGUUGUCGUCAGCUCGUGUCGUGAGAUGUUGGGUUAAGUCCCGCAACGAGCGCAACCCCUAUUGUUAGUUGCUACGCAAGAGCACUCUAGCGAGACUGCCGUUGACAAAACGGAGGAAGGCGGGGACGACGUCAAAUCAUCAUGCCCCUUAUGUCCUGGGCUACACACGUAAUACAAUGGCCGUCAACAAAGGGAAGCGAAACCGCGAGGUGGAGCAAACCCCCAAAAACGGUCUCAGUUCGGAUUGCAGGCUGCAACUCGCCUGCAUGAAGCUGGAAUUGCUAGUAAUCGUGGAUCAGCAUGCCACGGUGAAUACGUUCCCGGGCCUUGUACACACCGCCCGUCACACCAUGAGAGUCGGGAACACCCGAAGUCCGUAGUCUAACCGCAAGGAGGGCGC